GGAAUCCUGGAGAGAUUUGGGAGUGCUCGCAAGAGAGCCGGAACACAGGUGCUGCAUGGCUGUCGUCAGCUCGUGUCGUGAGAUGUUGGGUUAAGUCCCGCAACGAGCGCAACCCUUAUCAUUAGUUGCCAUCAUUCAGUUGGGCACUCUAAUGAGACUGCCGGUGACAAACCGGAGGAAGGUGGGGAUGACGUCAAGUCCUCAUGGCCCUUAUGGGUAGGGCUUCACACGUCAUACAAUGGUCGGUACAGAGGGUUGCCAACCCGCGAGGGGGAGCCAAUCUCACAAAGCCGAUCGUAGUCCGGAUCGCAGUCUGCAACUCGACUGCGUGAAGUCGGAAUCGCUAGUAAUCGUGGAUCAGCAUGUCACGGUGAAUACGUUCCCGGGUCUUGUACACACCGCCCGUCACACCAUGGGAGUGGGUUCACCAGAAGUAGGUAGUCUAACCGCAAGGAGGGCGCUUACCACGGUGGGGUUCAUGACUGGGGUGAAGUCGUAACAAGGUAGCCGUAGGGGAACCUGCGGCUGGAUCACCUCCUUUCUG
This 544-nucleotide ribosomal RNA is filed under the name uncultured Rhodocyclaceae bacterium. RNAcentral describes it as "bacterial SSU rRNA". It matches the Rfam family "Bacterial small subunit ribosomal RNA", at positions 992 to 1533 of the family's 1533-position model. The record is from RNAcentral. Lineage: Bacteria; Pseudomonadati; Pseudomonadota; Betaproteobacteria; Rhodocyclales; Rhodocyclaceae.